UACGGAGGGAGCUAGCGUUGUUCGGAAUUACUGGGCGUAAAGCGUACGUAGGCGGUUAUUCAAGUCAGAGGUGAAAGCCCGGGGCUCAACCCCGGAACGGCCUUUGAAACUAGAUAGCUAGAGUCUUGGAGAGGUUAGUGGAAUUCCGAGUGUAGAGGUGAAAUUCGUAGAUAUUCGGAAGAACACCAGUGGCGAAGGCGACUAACUGGACAAGUACUGACGCUGAGGUACGAAAGCGUGGGGAGCAAACAGG
This 253-nucleotide ribosomal RNA is filed under the name uncultured bacterium. Its description in RNAcentral is "partial 16S ribosomal RNA". It matches the Rfam family "Bacterial small subunit ribosomal RNA", at positions 524 to 776 of the family's 1533-position model. The record is from RNAcentral. RNAcentral also lists the same sequence under 1 other name.